GAUGAUGAUAAUAAAGGAAGAUCAAUGGACAAAGACAUUGGUACACAUCCGUGUAUAGAAGAUACACCGGAUCAUAGGUUUACGACAUGAGAUUAUAAUUUCAUGGUACCAUACUUAGUAUAUUGUCCAUAAGUAUGUUUAGCCUGUCUGACAAAAGUAUAGACAAGUCGACAGCAAAGGUUCACUUUUUGACCUUGCACACACGAUGUCAGAAGACAUGAGAAAAGACCGGAGAGGUCGAAGUGGUCCAAUUACGGUUCAAUAAUAAACUUGGCCGAUUUGUUUACUUCCUACCUGCACGUUCAGGAAGC
This 311-nucleotide long non-coding RNA is filed under the name Brassica napus (rape). RNAcentral describes it as "long non-coding RNA (BNAP_LNC026030)". Lineage: Eukaryota; Viridiplantae; Streptophyta; Magnoliopsida; Brassicales; Brassicaceae. The record is from RNAcentral.